This 441-nucleotide ribosomal RNA is filed under the name uncultured bacterium. Its description in RNAcentral is "bacterial SSU rRNA". It matches the Rfam family "Bacterial small subunit ribosomal RNA", at positions 772 to 1205 of the family's 1533-position model. The record is from RNAcentral.
ACUCAAUAGAUACCCCGGUAGUCCGCGCCCUAAACGAUGUCUACUAGUUGUUGGUGGAGUAAAAUCCAUGAGUAAACGCAGCUAAACGCGUGAAGUAGACCGCCUGGGGAGUACGGUCGCAAGAUUAAAACUCAAAGGAAUUGACGGGGGCCCGGCACAAGCGGUGGAUUAUGUGGAUUAAAUUCGAUGCAACGCGAAAAACCUUAACCUGGCCUUGACAUGCCACUAACGAAGCAGAGAUGCAUUAGGUGCCCGUAAGGGAAAGUGGACACAGGUGCUGCAUGGCUGUCGUCAGCUCGUGUCGUGAGAUGUUGGGUUAAAGUCCCGCAACGAGCGCAACCCUUGCCAUUAAUUGCCAUCAUUUAGUUGGGCACUUUAAUGGGACUGCCGGUGACAAACCGGAGGAAGGUGGGGAUGACGUCAAGUCCUCAUGGCCCUUAU